AUUCGGACAUUUAAAACCCUUACCUAAGCUCUUGAAAACCGUGAGUUUACCGAACGAUAAAUAAAACAUCAAUGACGCGUGUAUAAAAUAAACAUUAAACGUUUUCUGGCUUUUGGAAGGACUAAAAAUAUUACGCCCAUAGUGGUUUAUGUUGUCAUAUUAUCGACAAUGUGAUUUAUUAUGUUCAUUAAUUGCACACAUUCGAGAGUCGAGCUGACGGGUGGAAAAUAUCAUAUUAUACAGGAUAAGAAAUCGUUUAGUUCAAUUAUUAUAAUAU
Molecule: non-coding RNA, 277 nt
Organism: Cinara cedri
Lineage: Eukaryota; Metazoa; Arthropoda; Insecta; Hemiptera; Aphididae
Source: the annotation of a GenBank genome assembly